CAGCCGCCGCGGGAAUACAGAGGGUGCGAGCGUUAAUCGGAUUUACUGGGCGUAAAGCGUGCGUAGGCGGCUUCUUAAGUCGGAUGUGAAAUACCUGAGCUUAACUUAGGAAUUGCAUUCGAUACUGGGAAGCUAGAGUAUGGGAGAGGAUGGUAGAAUUCCAGGUGUAGCGGUGAAAUGCGUAGAGAUCUGGAGGAAUACCGAUGGCGAAGGCAGCCAUCUGGCCUAAUACUGACGCUGAGGUACGAAAGCAUGGGGAGCAAACAGGAUUAGAUACCCCUGUAGUCCCUGUCUCUUAUAC
RNAcentral lists this ribosomal RNA (301 nucleotides) under uncultured bacterium. Its description in RNAcentral is "partial 16S ribosomal RNA". It matches the Rfam family "Bacterial small subunit ribosomal RNA", at positions 509 to 807 of the family's 1533-position model. The record is from RNAcentral.